Long non-coding RNA from Hydra vulgaris (swiftwater hydra), 1281 nucleotides. RefSeq lists it as uncharacterized. The record is from RefSeq and is a predicted model, not a curated record. Lineage: Eukaryota; Metazoa; Cnidaria; Hydrozoa; Anthoathecata; Hydridae.
UAGGUUUUUUUAUUAAAUUUAAAGAUAAGUUUAAGUUUUUUAAAUGGAAACAUAAAUAUCUGCAAAGAAUCCAUUUUUAGAUUCGAAAAAAUCUGUUUUCAACAUGGCGAUCAAACAGCGAAAAAAGAUCAAAAAUAUAAUACACCUAUAACGUAUUAAAGCAUCAUUUUUCUACAAUUUUUUGCUUAACCAAGGCUUUGGGGCACCUUGAUCAAUAUGUUAUGCUAAGUAGUUUAUGAAAUGUGUGCAGGUGGUCACGUCUUUAUGUGUGGUGAAUGGACGCAGUGGAGUGUGCAAACAUCAAUUGAUGCAGUCUAAGACGCAGCGAAGUGUACAUACAUCAACAGAUUUGGCCACACACAGUGUUCAUACAUCGACUAAGGAUUUUGAUGUGUUUUGAUUACUCCUCAGUAUAGUUAAGAUACAAAGUAAUACUACAGCAUUAUUACAGUCUAUACAAUACUAAAAAUCAAAACAAGCUUUUAACUGUAACAAGAUUGGCUAAAUGCAUUUUCAAAAUUUUUACAAUAGUUGGAAACAAGCAUUUUUGUAAUUUAGCAAGGAAAUUAAUUUGCUGUGUUGAUUCGCUGAACAUUGAUGCAAUAUGUCAACUUCUUCAGAAAAGUAUUAAGUGCUCUUUAUUACAAUUGUCUUGCAAAUAAGUUAUUUCUCAAACUUUUCCAUAUUUUUAUAUAAAUUAACAUCCAUCGGCAACAUAAAAGGAAACUACUCAUAAACACAACAGAAAACAAAAAAUUAAAUGAAAACAAUUAAAAUUACAUCCAUCGGUAACAUAAAAGUAAACUACACAUGAACACAACAGAAAUCAAAAAAAUAAAAAAUAAAACAAUUUAAUGAACACAACAUAAAAGAAAACUACACAAAAACACAACUCAAAACAAAAUAUUAAAAAAUAAAACAGUUAAACGAACGCAACACAAAAAGAAAACUACACAUGAAGACAACAUAAAAGAAAGCUACACUUGAACACAACGUAAAAGAAAAUUACACAUAAACACAGCAAAACAACACGUUGUAUCUUUACAGCAGAAAUAAAUCAAAGAAAAGGAAAAUAGAACCACACUACUUUACACUUUUCGAAGCAAUCAUUCAAAUCAAACAACUUAUGAUGAAUUUGCAGAAGAACUGUCAAAGAAUACUGAACCCGUCAUUUCGAAAAGGACACAAUUCCAAAUCUUUUAACAUUGUCGUUAUAAAUCUAAAUUAAAAAUUUCUGUAUGAUUUGUGUUUUUUUUUUUAUAAAAAAGAAAACUCAUAAAA